This 378-nucleotide unclassified non-coding RNA is filed under the name uncultured Micrococcaceae bacterium. RNAcentral's name for it is "contains 16S-23S intergenic spacer region". The record is from RNAcentral. Lineage: Bacteria; Bacillati; Actinomycetota; Actinomycetes; Micrococcales; Micrococcaceae.
UCCGAGUUGACCCCGGCAGUCUCCCAUGAGUCCCCACCAUCACGUGCUGGCAACAUGGAACGAGGGUUGCGCUCGUUGCGGGACUUAACCCAACAUCUCACGACACGAGCUGACGACAACCAUGCACCACCUGUAAACCGGCCCCGAAGGGAAGGACUGUUUCCAGCCCGGUCCGGCCCAUGUCAAGCCUUGGUAAGGUUCUUCGCGUUGCAUCGAAUUAAUCCGCAUGCUCCGCCGCUUGUGCGGGCCCCCGUCAAUUCCUUUGAGUUUUAGCCUUGCGGCCGUACUCCCCAGGCGGGGCACUUAAUGCGUUAGCUACGGCACAGGCGGGAUUAAUACCGCCCACACCUAGUGCCCAUCGUUUAGGGCGUGGACUAC